RNAcentral lists this ribosomal RNA (253 nucleotides) under uncultured bacterium. RNAcentral describes it as "partial 16S ribosomal RNA". It matches the Rfam family "Bacterial small subunit ribosomal RNA", at positions 524 to 776 of the family's 1533-position model. The record is from RNAcentral.
UACGGAGGGUGCAAGCGUUGUUCGGAAUUACUGGGCGUAAAGGGCGCGUAGGCGGCCCGCUAAGUCGAACGUGAAAUCCCCGAGCUCAACUCGGGAACUGCGUCCGAUACUGGUGGGCUUGAAUCCGGGAGAGGGAUGCGGAAUUCCAGGUGUAGCGGUGAAAUGCGUAGAUAUCUGGAGGAAUACCGGUGGCGAAGGCGGCAUCCUGGACCGGCAUUGACGCUGAGGAGCGAAAGCCAGGGGAGCAAACGGG